AAGGAAUUCUGUUGACCGAGGGGAAGGUGUUAGGCACCCCUCGAUCCCGUGGUUCGACCACGGUCGCUUGGUAGAGUGUAUCAACUAUUUUGGCAUUACGAAAUGUAUAAACCACACAAAAGCACGGAAAAUAAUCAAACAAUAACAAAACAAAACAAAAAUGUAAAGUCCAGUCCAAAUUAUUACAACCCGAAAUAAAAAUACUGAAAUAACCUACACUAGUCCUAAACUAUGCUUUACCCGAUGCCUCGGGCCUUGGUCACGAGCAUCCUUUGUGUACAAAAUUCUUCAAGGCAUUCCCCGGUGAGUAAAU
Molecule: long non-coding RNA, 313 nt
Filed under: Capsicum annuum
Lineage: Eukaryota; Viridiplantae; Streptophyta; Magnoliopsida; Solanales; Solanaceae
Description: long non-coding RNA (CANN_LNC020111)
Source: RNAcentral